This 423-nucleotide ribosomal RNA is filed under the name Trachycephalus coriaceus group sp. ABGD cluster 16. RNAcentral's name for it is "partial large subunit ribosomal RNA". It matches the Rfam family "Bacterial large subunit ribosomal RNA", at positions 1834 to 2439 of the family's 2925-position model. The record is from RNAcentral. Lineage: Eukaryota; Metazoa; Chordata; Amphibia; Anura; Hylidae.
CUUGAAUAAUUAUAAGAGGUCCAGCCUGCCCAGUGACUCUGUUCAACGGCCGCGGUAUCCUAACCGUGCGAAGGUAGCGUAAUCACUUGUUCUUUAAAUGAGGACUCGUAUGAAUGGCACCACGAGGGUUAUACUGUCUCCUUUUUCUAAUCAGUGAAACUAAUCCCCCCGUGAAGAAGCGGGGAUUAGCAUAUAAGACGAGAAGACCCUAUGGAGCUUUAAACUCAAUAACAAAUACUAUCCACUUUAAACUUUCAGAGCAAAAACCUUUACUUUAGUACUAUGAUUAUUAGUUUUAGGUUGGGGUGACCGCGGAGUAAAAAUUAACCUCCACAUUGAACGGGACUAGUCCCUGAGCAAUAAACUACGACUUUAAGCACCAAUAAAUUGACAUCAAUUGACCCAAUAUUUUGAUCAACGAAC